GCUCAGCUUUACAGAAAUCAGAUCACAGACACAGAACAACAACACCCGGACUCUGUUUUAAUCAUUCUUGGGGACUUUAACAAAGCCAAUCUCUCCCGUGAACUGCCAAAAUACAGACAGCAUCUUACAUGUCCCACCAGAGACAGUAAUGUAUUGGAUCACUGUUACACCACAAUAAAGGAUGCAUAUCACUCUGUUCCACGAGCAGCUUUGGGACGUUCUGAUCACUGUCUGGUUCAUCUUAUACCGUCCUACAGGCAGAAACUAAAAUCUGCUAAACCUGUAGUAAGGACUGUGAAGAGAUGGACCAGCGAAACAGAGCAGGAUUUACAAUCUUGUUUUGAACUCACUGAUUGGAGUGUUUUUGAAGCUGCUACCACCGAUCUGGACGAACUCACAGAGACCGUAACAUCCUAUAUUAGUUUCUGUGAGGAUAUAUGCAUUCCUACCAGGACUUAUUUAACAUUCAACAAUGAUAAGCCAUGGUUUACAGUAAAACUCAGACAUCUUCGUCAGGCCAAAGAGGAUGCCUACAGAAAUGGGGACAGGGUCUUGUACAAUCAGGCCAGGAAUACACUGAACAAAGAGAUCAGAGCGGCUAAAAAGACCUGCGCUAAAAAGUUGGAAGACCAGUUUACUUCCAACGACUCAACUUCAGUGUGGAGAGGUCUAAGAGCCAUCACGAACUACAAGACACCAUCCCCUUGCACUGAGGCUAAUCAACGACUUGCUAACGACCUGAAUGAGUUUUAUUGUAGAUUUGAAACCCCCAACACCCAUUUUGACCAUCUCCCUACACAACCAUUAACACAUCCUGCAAUCCCACCCUCCACACCUCCUGCUCUUCAAAUCUGUGAAGAUGCUGUGCGCCAGGUCUUCAAGAAGAACAAAAGAAGAAAAGCACCAGGCCCAGAUGGUGUUACACCAGCCUGUCUGAAAAUCUGUGCUGACCAGCUGGCCCCCAUCUUUUCACAGAUCUUCAACAGAUCCCUGGAGUUGUGGAAAGUGCCUUCCUGCUUCAAACGCUCCACCAUCAUCCCCAUCCCAAAGAAACCCAAGAUAGCAGAACUUAACGACUACAGACCUGUGGCUCUAACGUCUGUCGUCAUGAAGUCGUUUGAAAAACUGGUUCUGGCUUAUCUGAAGGACAUCACUGGACCCUUACUGGACCCCCUGCAGUUUGCUUAUCGAGCAAACAGGUCCGUGGAUGAUGCAAUCAACAUGGGAUUGCACUUCAUCCUGCAACAUCUGGACAAAACAGGGACUUAUGUGAGGAUCCUAUUUGUGGACUUUAGUUCGGCAUUCAACACCAUCAUCCCAACAGCCCUUCAGACCAAACUGACCCAGCUCUCUGUUCCUAGCUCUAUCUGUCAGUGGAUCACCAGCUUUCUGACAGAUAGGCAACAGUUAGUGAGACUGGGGAAAUUCACAUCAAACAGCUGCUCCACCAACACUGGUGCCCCUCAGGGAUGCGUCCUCUCCCCUCUGCUUUUCUCCCUGUACACCAACGACCUCUAA
This 1518-nucleotide long non-coding RNA is filed under the name Carassius auratus (goldfish). RNAcentral's name for it is "lncRNA (ENSCARG00000021822.1)". Lineage: Eukaryota; Metazoa; Chordata; Actinopteri; Cypriniformes; Cyprinidae. The record is from RNAcentral.